AACCCAUGGUGAGGGUACCUUCUCAGUAAGUCUUUGCAUCUUUCCCAUGCAUCGUAAAGUGUUUCUAAGUCCAUCUGUACAAACGAAGAGAUAUCAUUACGUAAUUU
Molecule: small nucleolar RNA, 107 nt
Organism: Gossypium arboreum
Lineage: Eukaryota; Viridiplantae; Streptophyta; Magnoliopsida; Malvales; Malvaceae
Rfam family: Plant small nucleolar RNA R71
About the family: R71 is a member of the C/D box family of snoRNAs containing the C (UGAUGA) and D (CUGA) box motifs.
Source: Rfam